RNAcentral lists this ribosomal RNA (468 nucleotides) under uncultured bacterium. RNAcentral describes it as "partial 16S ribosomal RNA". It matches the Rfam family "Bacterial small subunit ribosomal RNA", at positions 28 to 507 of the family's 1533-position model. The record is from RNAcentral.
GACGAACGCUGGCGGCGUGCUUAACACAUGCAAGUCGAACGGAAAGGCCCUGCUUUUGUUGGGUGCUCGAGUGGCGAACGGGUGAGUAACACGUGAGUAACCUGCCCUUGACUUUGGGAUAACUUCAGGAAACUGGGGCUAAUACCGGAUAGGAGCUCCUGCUGCAUGGUGUUGGUUGGAAAGUUUCGGCGGCUGGGGAUGGAGUCGCGGCUUAUCAGCUUGUUGGUGGGGUAGUGGCUUACCAAGGCUUUGACGGGUAGCCGGCCUGAGAGGGUGACCGGCCACAGUGGGACUGAGAUACGGCCCAGACUCCUACGGGAGGCAGCAGCGGGGAAUAUUGCACGAUGGGCGGAAGCCUGAUGCAGCAACGCCGCGUGCGGGAUGACGGCCUUCGGGUUGUAAACCGCUUUAGCCUGUGACGAAGCGUGAGUGACGGUAAUGGGUAAAGAAGCACCGGCUAACUACGUG